RNAcentral lists this ribosomal RNA (338 nucleotides) under uncultured eukaryote. Its description in RNAcentral is "SSU rRNA". It matches the Rfam family "Eukaryotic small subunit ribosomal RNA", at positions 587 to 928 of the family's 1831-position model. The record is from RNAcentral.
AGCUCCAGUAGCGUAUAUUAAAGUUGUUGCGGUUAAAAAGCUCGUAGUUGGGUUUCUGCCAAGGGCAUCUGGGCCGUCCUGUGGGCUGGUUACUGGCUUGGCUUUGGCAUCUUCUUGGGGACGGUGUCUGCACUUGAUUGUGUGGCGCGGAAUCCAGGUCUUUUACUUUGAGGAAAUUAGAGUGUUUCAAGCAGGCUUCUGCCCUGAAUACAUUAGCAUGGAAUAAUAGCAUAGGACCUCGGUUCAUUUUUGUUGGUUUCUUGAACUGAGGUAAUGAUUGACAGGGACAGUUGGGGGGCAUUCGUAUUUGACUGUCAGAGGUGAAAUUCUUGGAUUUG